This is a long non-coding RNA of Sander lucioperca (pikeperch), 127 nucleotides long. RefSeq lists it as uncharacterized. The transcript has 2 exons. NCBI's taxonomy places the organism in Eukaryota, Metazoa, Chordata, Actinopteri, Perciformes, Percidae. The record is from RefSeq and is a predicted model, not a curated record.
GCCAUGCGCUGGAUUUAAAGUGGUUCUAGUUUUUACUCAGCACAGUCAUCCAGAUAACAAACCUCCGCUCACUGCGUACAUGAGUGCGGAAGAUGAGAAACCUGGUUAUUCAUCUCCCUGUACACAU